AGCUCCAAUAGCGUAUAUUAAAGUUGUUGCAGUUAAAAAGCUCAUAGUUGAGCUUGUGACCUGGAUGGCUCAGUCUGACGCUCAUGCAUGAGUACCUGAGCCAUCCAACAAUCCUUGGGUGGAACCUGUGUGGCAUUAAGUUUUCGUGUAGGGGAUGCCCUUUGUUUACUGUUAAAAAAUUAGAAUGUUCAAAACAGCCUUAUACCUUUGAAUACAUCAGUAUGGAAUAAUUAUAUAGGACUUUGGUACCAUUUUGUUGGUUUUUGAACUAAAGUAAUGAUUAAUAGGGACAGUUGGGGAUAUUAGUUUUUUUAGGUUAGAGGUGAAAUUCUUGGAUUCUUUAAAGACUAACUACUACAAAAGCAUUUAUCAAGGAUGUUUUCA
RNAcentral lists this ribosomal RNA (384 nucleotides) under uncultured eukaryote. RNAcentral describes it as "SSU rRNA". It matches the Rfam family "Eukaryotic small subunit ribosomal RNA", at positions 587 to 972 of the family's 1831-position model. The record is from RNAcentral.